CCAAGCCUUCUGGCGAUCUCUUAAAAUAAAGCCUUAGUCUGUUUUCAACAAACAGAACGUUUAGACAUAUGUUUAAAUUCUUAUGAUCUUUAAGCUCUUAUGAAAUUUAAAUAUUAUGAAUUUAAAAAAGGCUUUAUGAAGAAAGCACUUUAAGCUUUUCCAGCAAUUUAAGAUGAUACCGGGGAAGGUUUCCGGUUUAUCCCGGAGGGCUUGUAGCUCAGUUGGUUAGAGCGCGCGCUUGAUAAGCGUGAGGUCGGAGGUUCAAGUCCUCCCAGGCCCACCAAUUUAUGCUCGUUUUUUGCUUAUCCAAGGGUAUGAAGCUUAAGCGUAUUAAAGCCUCUUUAAUCUUUGUUUGUUUUAAAGAUUUAAUUGUAUUACCCAAGGAUUGUCUGGUAAGUUUAUCCUAUUAAGUUCAUCGGAGAGGAUUUUAAAAUCCCUUUAAAGGUAUAGAAGAAUUUAAAUGAUGCCAAUCAAAAGAGUCCAAGUCAUUCAAGUUGAUGAAUAUUCUUGAGGUUGAUUUGAGAAAGCAUUAUUUAGGGGCCGUAGCUCAGCUGGGAGAGCACCUGCUUUGCAAGCAGGGGGU
Molecule: unclassified non-coding RNA, 583 nt
Filed under: uncultured Bartonella sp.
Lineage: Bacteria; Pseudomonadati; Pseudomonadota; Alphaproteobacteria; Hyphomicrobiales; Bartonellaceae
Description: partial 16S-23S ribosomal RNA intergenic spacer
Rfam family: tRNA (bases 207-280)
Source: RNAcentral